CUACGUAGGGUGCGAGCGUUAAUCGGAAUUACUGGGCGUAAAGCGUGCGCAGGCGGUUGUGCAAGACAGAUGUGAAAUCCCCGGGCUUAACAUGGGAACUGCAUUUGUGACUGCACGGCUAGAGUACGGCAGAGGGGGAUGGAAUUCCGCGUGUAGCAGUGAAAUGCGUAGAUAUGCGGAGGAACACCGAUGGCGAAGGCAGUCCCCUGGGCCUGUACUGACGCUCAUGCACGAAAGCGUGGGGAGCAAACAGGAUUAGAUACCCUGGUAGUCCACGCCCUAAACGAUGUCAACUGGUUGUUGGACGGCUUGCUGUUCAGUAACGAAGCUAACGCGUGAAGUCGACCGCCUGGGGAGUACGGCCGCAAGGUUGAA
This 375-nucleotide ribosomal RNA is filed under the name uncultured bacterium. RNAcentral's name for it is "bacterial SSU rRNA". It matches the Rfam family "Bacterial small subunit ribosomal RNA", at positions 523 to 898 of the family's 1533-position model. The record is from RNAcentral.